This is a non-coding RNA of Oryctolagus cuniculus (rabbit), 553 nucleotides long. NCBI's taxonomy places the organism in Eukaryota, Metazoa, Chordata, Mammalia, Lagomorpha, Leporidae. The record is from RefSeq and is a predicted model, not a curated record.
GUUCCGUUGGGAGAGCAAGGUGUGGGUGAUGAGAGCGGGGGCAGGCUGAGCUGACCCUGCUGUUUUCUUCUGCAACACUCUGAUGACUUUACUCAUGCUAGCAAGGGCAACCCAAGGGGAACUUUUUCCUGCACGGGAUUUUCGAAGAGCAAUGUUUCAGAAUCGACGUGGACUCUUCACGGGAGGAGCGUGAAGGAGGAGCAGUGUCUGUGGGACUCGUGUGGGCUCCGGGACUGUUGUGGUGAUGUGAGAAGAUAAAGAAACCAGAACUUAAUUAUGUUAUUGUGUAAGAUCUCCUGGCCAGGAGACAAUGAAGCCAAGAUUAGUAAUGAUACUUCUUAGUCUCUACUCCUAUCUCUUGGAAGUAGAUGACACUAGCUCCCAGAGAUGUGCUAUGAGCUGGGAAGGCUUGGGAAGGUCAUAGUGUUUUGCUUUCACCUGAAGCCCAGGGAAUAUAUGCAGCUCUGUACUGCUAACUUUACCUUGGGUUUAUAAGCAUUCAGCAUUGACAUCUCCACAUUUUGACCUCUGACGUGUUUUGGUUGCCUUUGGA